UGUCCUUGCCCUCCUUGGGCGUUUCCUCCCUAGAUUCGACCGCGUCGUGCAAACGGGGCGGUCUUUUUUUGCCUAUU
This 77-nucleotide small RNA is filed under the name Mesorhizobium sp. J18. RNAcentral's name for it is "Makes More Granules Regulator RNA (mmgR)". It matches the Rfam family "Makes More Granules Regulator RNA (mmgR)". From Rfam's summary of the family: SuhB later renamed mmgR (makes more granules regulator) was a putative non-coding RNA found multiple times in the Agrobacterium tumefaciens genome and related alpha-proteobacteria. Other non-coding RNAs uncovered in the same analysis include: speF, ybhL, metA, and serC. Lineage: Bacteria; Pseudomonadati; Pseudomonadota; Alphaproteobacteria; Hyphomicrobiales; Phyllobacteriaceae. The record is from Rfam by way of RNAcentral.